This 546-nucleotide long non-coding RNA is filed under the name Bos taurus (domestic cattle). Its description in RNAcentral is "long non-coding RNA NONBTAT001101". Lineage: Eukaryota; Metazoa; Chordata; Mammalia; Artiodactyla; Bovidae. The record is from RNAcentral.
CUAUUAACAGAACGAUCUUUCUGACCAAUCUGAUAUUUUGUACUAGAUAUUUUAAAAUUAUGCUUUGUUUUGAUAUUAUUGCUUAAUAUAUUAAAGAAUAUUUACAAUGAAUACAAGUUUUCUUGGUUAUUAUAAAACAUUUUAAGAUAAAGACCUAGAAAGACGAGUCAGUGAAGUGACACAGAAUGACCAAAUCAGUGCUCCCACCUGCUCAGUUAAAUAUUACUGCUAUUUUUCCUUUUGUAUUUGGUCACCUGAAAUAGUUGUCGAGAGGGUCUAAUGAAUCAUUAAAACCUAAAACCUUUGUAUUGAUCUAAAGUUUUUCUUCCAGAGUUAUAAAUGUGUGCCUGCAUGUUUGAAGAGAAUGGACCAAUGACCUCAAAUGUCUCCCCAGCUCUCCUGUCUGCUCCUCUUCCCAUCCUGUUUUUCAGAUUGAACUUUGCUCCAUAAACAACCUUGCCUGAUGCCAUCCCCAAGACGAGAACAACAAAAAAGCCACCUAUCAGCCAAUUUCAUUUGCAAAAUCAUGGAAAGUUUUUUGAGAGG